This 1503-nucleotide ribosomal RNA is filed under the name uncultured rumen bacterium. RNAcentral describes it as "bacterial SSU rRNA". It matches the Rfam family "Bacterial small subunit ribosomal RNA". The record is from RNAcentral.
AGAGUUUGAUCAUGGCUCAGGAUGAACGCUAGCGACAGGCAUAACACAUGCAAGUCGAGGGGCAGCGGGCGAGUGGCAACACUUGCUGUCGGCGACCGGCGCACUGGUGAGUAACACGUAUGCAACCUGCCCCCUUCUGGGAGAUAACCCAUAGAAAUGUGGCCUAAUAUCCCAUAGUCGGCCCAGCCGCAUGGCCGGGCCGGGAAAGGCGAGCCGGAAGGGGAUGGGCAUGCGGCGCAUUAGCUAGUUGGCGGGGCAGAGGCCCACCAAGGCGACGAUGCGUAGGGGUUCUGAGAGGAAGGUCCCCCACAUUGGUACUGAGACACGGACCAAACUCCUACGGGAGGCAGCAGUGUUGAAUAUUGGUCAAUGGGCGGGAGCCUGAACCAGCCAAGUCGCGUGAGGGAGGAAGUUCCUACGGAUUGUAAACCUCUUUAGCCGGGGAGCAACGUGCGCCACGCGUGGCGCAGUGAGAGUACCCGGAGAAUAAGCAUCGGCUAACUCCGUGCCAGCGGCCGCGGUAAUACGGAGGAUGCGAGCGUUAUCCGGAUUUAUUGGGUUUAAAGGGUGCGCAGGCGGCGCGAAAAGUCAGCGGUCAAAGUUCCGGGCUCAACCCGGUGACGCCGUUGAAACUUUCGAGCUGGAGUUCGUGCGAGGGAGGCGGAAUGCGUUGUGUAGCGGGUGAAAUGCAUAGAUAUGACGCAGAACCCCGAUUGCGAAGGCAGCUUUCCAGCACGCGACUGACGCUGAGGCACGAAAGCGUGGGGAGCGAACAGGAUUAGAUACCCUGGUAGUCCACGCGGUAAACGAUGAAUACUAGCCCUGCGGCGCGAUUGGGUGCUGCGGGGCAGAGUGAAAACGUUAAGUAUUCCACCUGGGGAGUACGCCGGCAACGGUGAAACUCAAAGGAAUUGACGGGGGCCCGCACAAGCGGAGGAACAUGUGGUUUAAUUCGAUGAUACGCGAGGAACCUUACCCGGGCUCAAACGGCGGGAGACGCGUCCGGAAACGGGCGUUCCCUUCGGGGCUGCCGCCGAGGUGCUGCAUGGUUGUCGUCAGCUCGUGCCGUGAGGUGUCGGCUUAAGUGCCAUAACGAGCGCAACCCCCAUCUUCAGUUGCCAACGGGCAAAGCCGGGCACUCUGGAGAGACUGCCAGCGCAAGCUGUGAGGAAGGCGGGGAUGACGUCAAAUCAGCACGGCCCUUACGUCCGGGGCGACACACGUGUUACAAUGGCAGGGUCACAGAGGGAAGCCAGGCGGCGACGCCGAGCCGAUCCCGAAAACCUGUCUCAGUUCGGAUCGGAGUCUGCAACCCGACUCCGUGAAGCUGGAUUCGCUAGUAAUCGCGCAUCAGCCAUGGCGCGGUGAGUACGUUCCCGGGCCUUGUACACACCGCCCGUCAAGCCAUGGAAGCCUGGAGUGCCUGAAGCUCUCCUUUGUUCACGCGAGGAGCGACCAAGGGUAAGACAGGUAACUGGGCCUUAUCGUAACAAGGUAACCGUA